UCAAUUGGAAAGCUUCGGCCGAAGGAUUGAGUUCGAGUGGCGGACGGGUGAGUAACGCGUGAACAAUCUGUCCCAGACAGGGGGAUAACACUUGGAAACAGGUGCUAAUACCGCAUGAGACCACAGUAUCGCAUGGUACAGGGGUAAAAGGAGCGAUCCGGUUUGGGGUGAGUUCGCGUCCGAUUAGCCAGUUGGGGGGUAACGGCCCACCAAAGCGACGAUCGGCAGCCGACCUGAGAGGGUGAUCGGCCACAUUGGAACUGAGAGACGGUCCAAACGUCCUACGGGAGGCAGCAGUGGGGAAUAUUGGGCGAAUGGGCGAAAGCCUGGAACCCCCAGCAACGCCGCGUGAGUGAAGAAGGCCUUCGGGUUGUAAAGCUCUGUUACAGGUGACGAAGGAAGUGACGGUAGCUUUGUAAGGAAGCCCCGGCUAACUACGUGCCAGCCGCAGC
Molecule: ribosomal RNA, 452 nt
Filed under: uncultured bacterium
Lineage: Bacteria
Description: bacterial SSU rRNA
Rfam family: Bacterial small subunit ribosomal RNA
Source: RNAcentral